RNAcentral lists this ribosomal RNA (460 nucleotides) under uncultured bacterium. RNAcentral's name for it is "partial 16S ribosomal RNA". It matches the Rfam family "Bacterial small subunit ribosomal RNA", at positions 338 to 795 of the family's 1533-position model. The record is from RNAcentral.
CCUACGAGUGGCUGCAGUGAGGAAUAUUGGUCAAUGGACGGAAGUCUGAACCAGCCAUGCCGCGUGCAGGAAGACGGCUCUAUGAGUUGUAAACUGCUUUUGUACAAGAGUAAACCUGAAUACGUGUAUUCAGAUGCAAGUAACGUACGAAACAGGCUCGGCUAACUCCGGGCCAGCAGCCGCGGUAAUACGGAGGAGCCAAGCGUUAUCCGGAUUUAUUGGGGUGACAGGGUGCGGAGGCGGAUUGAUAAGUUAGAGGUGAAAUGUCCGAGCUUAACUCGGGAACUGCCUCUAAUACUGGUGAUCUAGAGAGUAGAUGCGGUAGGCGGAAUGUAUGGUGUAGCGGUGAAAUGCUUAGAGAUCAUACAGAACACCGAUUCCGAAGGCAGCUUACCAAUCUAUAUCUGACGUUGAGGCACGAAAGCGUGGGGAGCAAACAGGAUUAGAUACCCUGGUAGUC